RNAcentral lists this ribosomal RNA (918 nucleotides) under uncultured bacterium. RNAcentral describes it as "bacterial SSU rRNA". It matches the Rfam family "Bacterial small subunit ribosomal RNA", at positions 8 to 964 of the family's 1533-position model. The record is from RNAcentral.
AGAGUUUGAUCAUGGCUCAGAAUCAACGCUGGCGGCGUGCCUAACACAUGCAAGUCGAACGAGAAAGUGGAGCAAUCCAUGAGUAAAGUGGCGCACGGGUGAGUAACACGUGACUAACCUACCCUUGAGUGGGGAAUAACCUAGGGAAACCUGGGCUAAUACCGCAUAACACCUACGGGUCAAAGGAGCAAUUCGCUUAAGGAGGGGGUCGCGGCAGAUUAGCUAGUUGGCGGGGUAAUGGCCCACCAAGGCAGUGAUCUGUAUCCGGCCUGAGAGGGCGCACGGACACACUGGAACUGAAACACGGUCCAGACUCCUACGGGAGGCAGCAGUGGGGAAUUUUGCGCAAUGGGGGAAACCCUGACGCAGCAACGCCGCGUGGAGGAUGAAGUCCCUUGGGACGUAAACUCCUUUCGACCGGGAAGAUUAUGACGGUACCGGAAGAAGAAGCCCCGGCUAACUUCGUGCCAGCAGCCGCGGUAAUACGAGGGGGGCAAGCGUUGUUCGGAAUUAUUGGGCGUAAAGGGUGCGUAGGCGGUUCGGCAAGUCUUGUGUGAAAUCUUCGGGCUCAACUCGAAGUCUGCACGAGAAACUGCCGGGCUUGAGUGUGGGAGAGGUGAGUGGAAUUUCCGGUGUAGCGGUGAAAUGCGUAGAUAUCGGAAGGAACACCUGUGGCGAAAGCGGCUCACUGGACCACAACUGACGCUGAGCACGAAAGCUAGGGGAGCAAACAGGAUUAGAUACCCUGGUAGUCCUAGCCCUAAACGAUGAUCGCUUGGUGUGACGGGUACCCAAUCCCGCCGUGCCGAAGCUAACGCGUUAAGCGAUCCGCCUGGGGAGUACGGUCGCAAGCUGAAACUCAAAGGAUUGACGGGGCCCCCACAGCGUGGAGCAUGUGGUUAAUUCGACGCAACGCGA